AUCUUCGAUUUGGGGAUCUGGAGCUGGACUCCGGAUCGAUCUACAAGGCGUUUUCGCAUGCUCUCACUUCCUUGCGUUCUUUAUUAAGUUUUUUCUUGGAUUUGGUUGUUUACAUGGACAAUGUUCAUAAGAUGAUUGUUUGAGUUUGUGAAUUUCUCUCUUUAAUUGUUUGAUCAUGUCCAACCUCUCUUGAUUUUCUCUUAGAUUUUUUUUCUCUCCUUCUUCUAUUAUUUCAAUAUUAUGUUGUUCUAGAUCUAGUCCCACACCUUUAAGCAUGUCUGACAUCUUCUCUCUCGACAACAUCACCAUCUUUCGUGCUCAAGGUGAUUGGUGCCAUAAUCGCUCGACGCACUUUCAAGAACCUUUGAAGCGUCUUACAUUCUCAACCCUAAUCUUGGUUCAGAUUUGCCAAUACCUCAAAGUUGUUGAUGAAGAAAUCGGCGAAUAAAAGAUGAAAGAAGGAUGAAUCUGCAAUAGAUUUCAAGGUUAUAAUUUGUUUUGUUUACUUUUUUUGUAAUCUUAUUGUCAUCAAAAUUCAAAUCAUAAGAUUAUAGAAAGGCAUUGAGUUAGUAUGAAGUUUGUAAACUUGACUCAGUUUAUUUGUGAUAGUUAUUAUAUUUAGAACCAAAAAUUUGAACAACGUUGAGUGUAGCUUAGAUGGUUAAGUUCUUUGUGUUGGAACCAGUCCAUCAUGAUUUAAGUCUUAGAUUUGACAUUGAUGCUCGCAUUUUUCUGGAUUUAUUACAACUUUGCUAGCGAUGUUUCUUCUGUGAGAGAAGACAUUUUUUUUUCGAUUAUGAAUGUGUAUGUAAGCAUAUGCGUUUAUACUGAGUUUAAAACAAGCACUAUAGAGAUAAAAGAUUCAAAAGUUCAAAUUGGUCUUAGCAUGUCAACACUAAACAUUCAAUUGUAUAACUUACUUUUUUAAUCAUGCUUAAUUAUACUUAAUAAUGUGUACUUGUACAGUUCCUGUCAAUUUAUGUGUCAUGUUCUAUUUUAUAUUUCCUUUGUUCCAAAAUAAGUGUCUUAAUCUUAAUAUAGUUUUAUCUUAAGUUAGUACAAAGUUGAAACACUUAUUUUAAAACGAAAGAAAUAUUAUGACUAAGUUAGACUAGUCUAAUCGUUGACCUAGUUUUGGUUGUCCAUAGCUUAGUUUCCUUAAUUGUGCUUACUAAUACAAUUUUGUGAAUUAAUAUGGCAUAUUCUAUUUUAUACUCUCUCCAUUUUUAAAUGCAAGUCUUUUUAAAGAUUUCACUAUGAAUUACAAACAAAUGUAUAUAAACAUAUUUUAGAGUGGAAUUCACUCAUUUUGCUUAGUAUGCAGUCCGUAGUAAAAUCUAAGACUUAUAUUUAAGAACACAGGGAGUAAUAUAUUACCUAUGUCUCAAAAUUAUUGUCUUAGAUUUAUCUACAUAUAAAUGUAGUCUUGUAGUAAAGUCUCUUGAAAGAUUUAUAUUUAGAAAGACUUAUAUUUAGGAACCGAGGAAGUAGUGACCUUUAAUUUGACCAAGAUUUCACUAUGUUAUGUUAUAUUCAGUCUUUUCCUAAGUAUAAGACAUUUUAAAGAUUUCACUAUGGAGUACAUAUGGAUGUAUAUAAAGAUAUUUUGGAGUGUAGAUUCAUUCAUUUUGCUUUUAUAUAUACUCCCUCCGUACCGAAAUAUAAGUCUUUUAAGAUAUUUCACUAGAUGUCUACAUAUGAAGCAAAAUGAGUGAAUCUAUACUUUAAAGUAUGUCUAUAUACAUCCGUAUGUAGUUCAUUAGUGAAACCUCUAAAAAGACUUAUAUUUAGGAACGGAGGGAGUAAUUCAUAAUGAAAUCUCUACAAGGUCUUGUAUUUAGGAACUGAAGAAGUAUAUCUUAAAUAGCAAUUCAUCUAUGACAACGAAGUUUUGUAUCAAAGGAUGCAACGUUUGACUAGGUUUGUUAAAAAAUAUCAAGAAUUAUGAUACCAAAGUACUCCCUCCGUUCCUAAAUGUAAGACCUUUUAGAGAUUUCAUUACAGAAUAGAUACAGAACAAAAUGAGUGCAUAUAUAUCCUAAAAUAUAACUAUACACAUCCGUAUAUAUAGUUCACAGUGAAAUCUCUAAAAGGUCUUAUAUUUAGGAACGGAGGGAGUACAAAUUUUGUAGCGUAUCGCAUAUUUUGUUGGUCAAAGUUAAGGUUAGUAGAAGAUAGUUUAAAGUAGGAGAUGCUUAAAAGCUUGCCUACAGCCGGUCACUAAUUUUGGGAUCUAACUUGCAUAUUCUUAUAGGUUUUUGAGCGUCUGCUCGUAUGAUGGAUACAUAGCUCCUAUCCCUGGUGAUUGAACUAUUACUGCAAUGUGGAU
Molecule: long non-coding RNA, 2329 nt
Filed under: Hordeum vulgare
Lineage: Eukaryota; Viridiplantae; Streptophyta; Magnoliopsida; Poales; Poaceae
Description: long non-coding RNA (HVUL_LNC013109)
Source: RNAcentral